GAUCAUGGCUCAGGAUGAACGCUGGCGGCGUGCCUAACACAUGCAAGUCGAACGAUGAAACCGCCCUCGGGCGGACAUGAAGUGGCGAACGGGUGAGUAACACGUGACCGACCUGCCCCCCGCCCAGGGACAGCCCCCCGAAAGGGGGAUUAAUACCUGGUACUCCGGGAGCGGCGCAUGCCGCAUCCGGGAAAGCUCUCGCGGCGGGGGAUGGGGUCGCGGCCCAUCAGGUAGACGGCGGGGUAGAGGCCCACCGUGCCGACG
Molecule: ribosomal RNA, 264 nt
Filed under: uncultured bacterium
Lineage: Bacteria
Description: partial 16S ribosomal RNA
Rfam family: Bacterial small subunit ribosomal RNA
Source: RNAcentral